UUGUUAAAGUGUUUAGCACUUAAAAAUUUGAUUUUUAAAGAGAUAUGAAAAUAUCUAACAAAU
This 63-nucleotide transfer RNA is filed under the name Argiope bruennichi. Its description in RNAcentral is "tRNA-Gln". Lineage: Eukaryota; Metazoa; Arthropoda; Arachnida; Araneae; Araneidae. The record is from RNAcentral.